GGGGGGGGGGGGGGGGGGGGGUGAGAGGGGGGGGUGGGGGGGGGGGGGGGGGGGGGGGGGGGCGCGGGGGCGGGAGGGGGGGGGACCGGGCGGUAGGGUGGGAAGAACUCCCCGAAAGGGGUGCUAAUACCGGAUAAUGUCUUCGGACCAAAGAUUGAUAGGCUUUGGAUGGGCCCGCGUUGGAUUAGCUAGUUGGUAGGGGAAGAGCCUACGAAGGCGACGAUCCAUAGCUGGUCUGAGAGGAUGAUCAGCCACACUGGGACUGAGACACGGCCCAGACUCCUACGGGAGGCAGCAGUGGGGAAUAUUGGACAAUGGGCGAAAGCCUGAUCCAGCAAUGCCGCGUGAGUGAUGAAGGCCUUAGGGUUGUAAAGCUCUUUUACCCGGGAUGAUAAUGACAGUACCGGGAGAAUAAGCUCCGGCUAACUCCGUG
Molecule: ribosomal RNA, 433 nt
Filed under: uncultured bacterium
Lineage: Bacteria
Description: partial 16S ribosomal RNA
Rfam family: Bacterial small subunit ribosomal RNA (bases 55-433)
Source: RNAcentral